Molecule: unclassified non-coding RNA, 348 nt
Filed under: soil metagenome
Description: partial contains 5.8S ribosomal RNA, internal transcribed spacer 2, and large subunit ribosomal RNA
Rfam family: 5.8S ribosomal RNA (bases 1-120)
Source: RNAcentral
GAUGAAGAACGUAGCGAAAUGCGAUAAGUAAUGUGAAUUGCAGAAUUCAGUGAAUCAUCGAAUCUUUGAACGCACAUUGCGCCCGCCAGUAUUCUGGCGGGCAUGCCUGUCUGAGCGUCAUUUCAACCCUCAUGCCCCUAGGGCGUGGUGUUGGGGAUCGGCCAAAGCCCGCGAGGGACGGCCGGCCCCUAAAUCUAGUGGCGGACCCGUCGUGGCCUCCUCUGCGAAGUAGUGAUAUUCCGCAUCGGAGAGCGAUGAGCCCCUGCCGUUAAACCCCCAACUUUCCAAGGUUGACCUCAGAUCAGGUAGGAAUACCCGCUGAACUUAAGUAUAUCAAUAAGCGGAGGA